This is a non-coding RNA of Nomascus leucogenys (northern white-cheeked gibbon), 148 nucleotides long. It matches the Rfam family "Metazoan signal recognition particle RNA". Rfam says of the family: The signal recognition particle (SRP) is a universally conserved ribonucleoprotein. The record is from Rfam. NCBI's taxonomy places the organism in Eukaryota, Metazoa, Chordata, Mammalia, Primates, Hylobatidae.
GCCAGGCGUGGUGGUGCGUGCCUGUAAUUCCAGCUACUUGGGAGGCUGAGGCAGGAUAAUUGCUUGAACCCGGGAGGCAGAGGUUGCAGUGAGCCGAGUUCACGCCACUGCACUCCAGCCUGGGUUAUAGAGCAAGACUCUGUCUCAA